UGGAAUGUCAGCAGUGGCCCCUUUCA
This 26-nucleotide non-coding RNA is filed under the name Mus musculus (house mouse). Lineage: Eukaryota; Metazoa; Chordata; Mammalia; Rodentia; Muridae. The record is from RNAcentral.